RNAcentral lists this ribosomal RNA (396 nucleotides) under uncultured bacterium. Its description in RNAcentral is "partial 16S ribosomal RNA". It matches the Rfam family "Bacterial small subunit ribosomal RNA", at positions 523 to 918 of the family's 1533-position model. The record is from RNAcentral.
AUACGUAGGGGGCGAGCGUUGUCCGGAAUGAUUGGGCGUAAAGGGCGCGUAGGCGGCCCGGUAAGUCUGGAGUGAAAGUCCUGUUUUUAAGAUGGGAAUUGCUUUGGAUACUGUCGGGCUUGAGUGCAGGAGAGGUAAGUGGAAUUCCCAGUGUAGCGGUGAAAUGCGUAGAGAUUGGGAGGAACACCAGUGGCGAAGGCGACUUCCGGGACGUUAACGGAGGCUGAGGGGGGAAAGGGUGGGGAGCAAACGGGAUUGGAUACCCUGGUAUUCAACAUUUUAAAGGAUGAAUGCUAGGGGUAGGGGUUUUGGACCCCUUCUGUGCCGAAGUAACCACAAAAGGCAUUCGCCUGGGGAGUACGGCCGCAAGGUUGAAACUCAAAGGAAUUGACGGGG